AUCUGUGGGAGGAAACUCAGCUGGAGUGACGGGUGGUGUGGACAGCUGCUGUACAGCAUGGGAGGGGUGUAAGCUGAAUGGAACAGAGGACGUGUGUGUGUGUGUGUGUGUGUGUGUGUGUGUGUGUGUGUGUCUACACCCAUGUCCCUCCCCGUGCCUACACCUUGAUUCUGCUUGAUCAGGUAGGUUCUGUGACCCCCACCUCCAGCCCACCAUCCUAAAAAGAAAAGCCAAGCUUCCGUGACUCCCUUUUUUGUGGCACUGCGCUGA
Cricetulus griseus (Chinese hamster) is the source of this 270-nucleotide non-coding RNA. The record is from Rfam. NCBI's taxonomy places the organism in Eukaryota, Metazoa, Chordata, Mammalia, Rodentia, Cricetidae.